RNAcentral lists this ribosomal RNA (900 nucleotides) under uncultured Bacillota bacterium. Its description in RNAcentral is "bacterial SSU rRNA". It matches the Rfam family "Bacterial small subunit ribosomal RNA", at positions 28 to 897 of the family's 1533-position model. The record is from RNAcentral. Lineage: Bacteria; Bacillati; Bacillota.
GACGAACGCUGGCGGCGUGCCUAAUACAUGCAAGUCGAGCGCGUGAAAUUCGCGGAUCUCUUCGGAGUGAUGCGGAUGGAUCGAGCGGCGGACGGGUGAGUAACACGUGGGCAACCUGCCCGUAAGACUGGGAUAACUUCGGGAAACCGAAGCUAAUACCGGAUAGGCUUUCGCACCGCAUGGUGCGAAAGGGAAAGGUGCUUCUGGCAUCACUUACGGAUGGGCCCGCGGCGCAUUAGCUAGUUGGUGAGGUAACGGCUCACCAAGGCGACGAUGCGUAGCCGACCUGAGAGGGUGAUCGGCCACACUGGGACUGAGACACGGCCCAGACUCCUACGGGAGGCAGCAGUAGGGAAUCUUCCGCAAUGGACGAAAGUCUGACGGAGCAACGCCGCGUGAGUGAGGAAGGUCUUCGGAUCGUAAAGCUCUGUUGUCGGAGACGAACAAGCGUCAUAGGAAAUGAUGGCGCCAUGACGGUAUCCGACCAGAAAGCCCCGGCUAACUACGUGCCAGCAGCCGCGGUAAUACGUAGGGGGCGAGCGUUGUCCGGAAUUAUUGGGCGUAAAGCGCGCGCAGGCGGCUCCUUAAGUCUGGUGUGAAAGCCCGCGGCUCAACCGCGGAGGGUCAUUGGAAACUGGGGAGCUUGAGUGCAGGAGAGGAGAGUGGAAUUCCACGUGUAGCGGUGAAAUGCGUAGAGAUGUGGAGGAACACCGGUGGCGAAAGCGGCUCUCUGGCCUGUAACUGACGCUGAGGCGCGAAAGCGUGGGGAGCAAACAGGAUUAGAUACCCUGGUAGUCCACGCCGUAAACGAUGAGUGCUAGGUGUUAGGGGGGUCCAACCCCUUAGUGCUGAAGUUAACACAUUAAGCACUCCGCCUGGGGAGUACGACCGCAAGGUUGA